This 579-nucleotide ribosomal RNA is filed under the name uncultured bacterium. RNAcentral's name for it is "partial 16S ribosomal RNA". It matches the Rfam family "Bacterial small subunit ribosomal RNA", at positions 355 to 932 of the family's 1533-position model. The record is from RNAcentral.
UGGGGAAUUUUGGACAAUGGGCGAAAGCCUGAUCCAGCAAUGCCGCGUGUGUGAAGAAGGCCUUCGGGUUGUAAAGCACUUUUGUCCGGAAAGAAAUCCUUGGCUCUAAUACAGUCGGGGGAUGACGGUACCGGAAGAAUAAGCACCGGCUAACUACGUGCCAGCAGCCGCGGUAAUACGUAGGGUGCAAGCGUUAAUCGGAAUUACUGGGCGUAAAGCGUGCGCAGGCGGUUUGCUAAGACCGAUGUGAAAUCCCCGGGCUCAACCUGGGAACUGCAUUGGUGACUGGCAGGCUAGAGUAUGGCAGAGGGGGGUAGAAUUCCACGUGUAGCAGUGAAAUGCGUAGAGAUGUGGAGGAAUACCGAUGGCGAAGGCAGCCCCCUGGGCCAAUACUGACGCUCAUGCACGAAAGCGUGGGGAGCAAACAGGAUUAGAUACCCUGGUAGUCCACGCCCUAAACGAUGUCAACUAGUUGUUGGGGAUUCAUUUCCUUAGUAACGUAGCUAACGCGUGAAGUUGACCGCCUGGGGAGUACGGUCGCAAGAUUAAAACUCAGAUGAAUUGACGGGGUCAUAGCUG